This 444-nucleotide ribosomal RNA is filed under the name uncultured microorganism. RNAcentral's name for it is "bacterial SSU rRNA". It matches the Rfam family "Bacterial small subunit ribosomal RNA", at positions 346 to 780 of the family's 1533-position model. The record is from RNAcentral.
GUGCAGCAGGCGAGAAUAGUCUACAAUGGACGAAAGUCUGAUAGUGCGACGCCGUGUGUGCGAUUAAUUCCUUCGGGAUGUAAAGCACUUUUCUAUGAGAUAAAAGCUCUUUAGGUUAAUAGCUUAUUGAGACGGAUAUUAUUAUAGGAAUAAGCUCCGGCUAACUCCGUGCCAGCAGCCGCGGUAAUACGGAAGGAGCGAGCGUUGUCCGGAUUUACUGGGCGUAAAGGGCUAGUAGGCGACUAAUUAAGUUAUAUGUUAAAUCCCACGGCUCAACUGUGGUCCUGCAUGUAAUACUGGUUAGAUAGAGUACUGUAGAGGAAGGCAGAAUUCCUGGAGUAGCGGUGGAAUGCGCAGAUAUCAGGAAGAAUACCAAAAGCGAAGGCAGCCUUCUGGGCAGUUACUGACGCUGAAUAGCGAAGGUGUGGGUAGCGAACAGGAUUA